This 601-nucleotide ribosomal RNA is filed under the name uncultured archaeon. Its description in RNAcentral is "bacterial SSU rRNA". It matches the Rfam family "Archaeal small subunit ribosomal RNA", at positions 319 to 923 of the family's 1478-position model. The record is from RNAcentral.
UCCCUAUGGGGUGCAGCAGUCGCGAAAACUUUGCAAUACACGAAAGUGUGACAAGGCUAUCCCGAGUGCCAUCCGCUGAGGAAGGCUUUUACCCAGUAUAGAUAGCUGGGAGAAUAAGGAGAGGGCAAGUCUGGUGUCAGCCGCCGCGGUAAUACCAGCUCUCCGAGUAGUGUGGACGUUUAUUGGGCCUAAAGCAUCCGUAGCUUGCUAGAUAAGUCCCCUGUUAAAUCCACCGAUUCAAUCGUUGGAUUGCGGGGGAUACUGUUUGGCUAGGGGACGGGAGAGGUCGACGGUAUUUCCGGGGUAGGGGUGAAAUCCUAUAAUCCCGGGAGGACCACCAGUGGCGAAGGCUGUCGACUAGAACGCGCCCGACGGUGAGGGAUGAAAGCUGGGGGAGCGAACCGGAUUAGAUACCCGGGUAGUCCCAGCUGUAAACGAUGCGAGCUAGGUGUUGGGAUGGCUACGUGCCAUUUCAGUGCCGCAGGGAAGCCAUUAAGCUCGCCGCCUGGGGAGUACGGCCGCAAGGCUGAAACUUAGAGGAAUUGGCGGGGGAGCACCACAAGGCGUGAAGCUUGCGGUUCAAUUGGAUUCAACGCCGGAA